Molecule: long non-coding RNA, 245 nt
Filed under: Mytilus galloprovincialis (Mediterranean mussel)
Lineage: Eukaryota; Metazoa; Mollusca; Bivalvia; Mytilida; Mytilidae
Source: RNAcentral
GAUUGAACCUGGUUUUAUAGCUAGCUAAACCUCUAAGUAACUGAAAGAUAUAGAGUGACACACUAUUUCUCCACGUGAGUCAAAAUUGAUCUUAUGACAGUGUUUUAUUUUGCAAAUAAACGAUUUUCAUUGAUUUGAAUUUAGGAAAAAAGGUAACAUGUAUUUGUUGGCAUUUUGUUCGAGCUUAUUGUUAAUUUGUUGCUAUUUUUUUUUAUUAGAAAUGUACUUGGGUUAAUUAAAAAAAU